This 537-nucleotide ribosomal RNA is filed under the name Russula sp. Its description in RNAcentral is "SSU rRNA". It matches the Rfam family "Bacterial small subunit ribosomal RNA", at positions 404 to 965 of the family's 1533-position model. Lineage: Eukaryota; Fungi; Basidiomycota; Agaricomycetes; Russulales; Russulaceae. The record is from RNAcentral.
CGAGAGUGGACUAGCUAACUGAAUCAAUUAUAAAAAUUGAUAACAUAAGGGAAAAUAAUGAUAUUACCUUAUUAUUAGUGUCGUCCAAAACUGGUGCCAGAAGACUCGGUAAGGCCUGAGACACAAACGUUAAUCGUCUUAAUCAGGCGUAAAGGGUUUGUAGGCGGCUUUAAAUUUACUUAUAAAAAUAAAAAAUAAGUAAAGAUAAAAGCUAGAAUCAAAUAGAGGAUAUAUGAAAGAAUGCUUAGAGUAGGUCUGAUAUCCUUAGAUACUAAGUAGAAUAUUAAAGGCGAAAGCUUUUUUCCAUUAAUGAUUGACGCUCAGAAACGAAGGUGAGGAUAGGAAAUAGGAUUAGAUACCCAGAAUACCCCUCUCUGUCAACGAUGAAUGGUAGUUAUUAGUAAAAAUUAUUAAUGGCAAUGUUAACACGAUAACCAUUCCGCCUUGUGAGUACAAUUGCAAAGUUGAAAACAAAAAAAUUAGUCGGUUUCGGAGCAAACGAAGUGAAGCAUGUUAUUUAAUUAAUUAAUUUCCGCG